GGGCCCGUGGCCUAGUUAGGAAAGGGCGUCGGCCUUCGGAGCCGAACGGCAGGGGUUCGAAUCCCUUCGGGCCCG
Molecule: transfer RNA, 75 nt
Filed under: Thermoproteota archaeon
Lineage: Archaea; Thermoproteati; Thermoproteota
Also listed under: 1 other name
Description: tRNA-Arg
Rfam family: tRNA
About the family: Transfer RNA (tRNA) molecules are approximately 80 nucleotides in length. Their secondary structure includes four short double-helical elements and three loops (D, anti-codon, and T loops).
Source: RNAcentral